RNAcentral lists this long non-coding RNA (1661 nucleotides) under Pelobates cultripes (western spadefoot toad). Lineage: Eukaryota; Metazoa; Chordata; Amphibia; Anura; Pelobatidae. The record is from RNAcentral.
CUGCAAAAUCAUUCCCUGUUGUUAAUUUUAUUAAUUGUGUUAAUCUGUCUUGCUUAUUUCCAUAUAUUAUUUCAUCAUUGUCCUCACAUUUUACAAGCGUGGUCAGUCUACAUGCCAUUUGAGUCGGCAGCCAUAUUUUAAACAAUCUAUUCCUUUGUUCGUCAUUUAGGCUGUAUUUGUCUAAAUUAGACUCAAACAUUUCAGCAUUAGUAAAUGCAUCCACUGACGUGUCAUAAACUGGAAUACAUUUCACAAUUUUCAUUAAUUGUUCAUGGAUUUUCAAAUUAAGUUUUGCAGUUCUGUCUUGAAAUUUACAUUUCUGCAAAUCACUCAGUGAGGAUACAUUUUCAGUAUCUGUUAGUUCUGGGAUUAGAUUCUGUGCCUUUACUUUUCUUGUAUUAACACACACUUGCUUUACUUCAUUUGUAAACUGGCAACUAAAAUCAUUUCUUAGUUCAUCUCUAUCCUCUAAUUCACAGACUGUUUCUGACAAUGUUCUCUCUGUUACAUUGUUACACUGUUCAUUUAAAUCUGAUUUGUCUUCUGUUAACCCAUUCAAAUCUAUUUCUUUUUCUGCUGAUUCUAAAUUGUCUUUACCUGUAUUUCGUUUACAAAUCACUGCAUUGUAAGUACAGACUAGUUUCAUAACAUUUCUGAUCUUUUGUUUUUUCUUAUUAACAAACAAUUUCUUGUCAAUUUCACUAUUGGCAAUUUCACAUUGUGUGUAUAAAGAUUGCCACAAUACAGCAUCUGAAUAGCUGCUAUUAAAUGCAAACUGCAAUUUACUUUUCUCUGCAAUAUCAUUUAUGAAUUCCAUGUUACUCACCAGAUCAGUUAUUUCUGUCUAUUUCGUUGCUUCAUCCACACAGCUGCGCAGUUCUUUGCUUGGACGCUUGCCAAUGUCUGCCACGUGCUUGCUUCUAGAAUUCACGUUGUAUCUUGUGCUUUUUGUCUCAGUUGUAGAAAAUAGUCUUGUACAGUCUUUAUGAUUUGAAAACUCUAUUUUUCUUACAAACCACAGUUCUUCUAUGACAGUCAGUCUAGAUUCUUUUUUUCUCUUCAAGUUUGUUUUCCCAGUUCCAAAAUAGCUUUGUAACUCGAUUCUUCUCUCUCCCCCCUUGAAGUGGGAACAAAACUUGAAUAGAAGACUGGCAGGCUAGCCAAUGUAAAAAAUGUAGAUGAAUGGAUGUUCAUGUAGACUCUUUCUUAAUUUCUUCUUGUCUUCAGUUGAUUGAUAUAUAUACGUCUUUUGUAUAUAUAUUCUUGGGCCAAAUGCUCGCCACAAUAAUAUAUGUCUAUAUUAUUGAAAAGUAGUAAUACGCAAUCUGACUUACGGUUUCUUCAGGUUUAUUCUUAGUUACGGAUACAUAAAACAACAAAUGAUGUUACAGGAUAAUGGACAUUCAACAGCAGAUGGUAAUUGCUGGACUUCUGAUGGGAGAGUUACAUCGUUGUACAGAGCCAAGCCAAGAGUAGACUGAGAGCCACCUCGUGUCCCUCUCUUACUAUAAGGAAGUGCCAAUACUAACGUCAGCAUAUAACUCUAGCCAUAUAAGGACAAAACCCCCACAUCCACAUUCCAGAGCUCUCGGACAAAGAAAGCCUUGUGACUUAUUGAUACCAUCUGUUACUUAUGUCAAUCCACACAUCCAUAUAUAAUC